Molecule: long non-coding RNA, 1647 nt
Filed under: Felis catus (domestic cat)
Lineage: Eukaryota; Metazoa; Chordata; Mammalia; Carnivora; Felidae
Description: lncRNA (ENSFCAG00000040933.2)
Source: RNAcentral
GGGGACAGAGGAUGGGGGCGGUGGACAGAUGAUUGACAGGGGGGGACAGAAGAUGGACGGGGGGACAGAAGAUGGACGGGGGACAGAGGAGAAUGGGGGCAGCGGAGACAGAAGAUGGACAGGGGACAGAGGAGAAUGGGGGCAGCGGAGACAGAAGAUGGACGGGGGGACAGAGGAGAAUGGGGGCAGCGGAGACAGAAGAUGGACGGGGGGACAGAAGAUGGACGGGGGGACAGAGGAUGGGGGUGGUGGACAGAAGAUGGACGGGGGGACAGGAAGAUGGACGGGGGGGGACAGAGGAGAAUGGGGGCAGCGGAGACAGAAGACGGAUGAAGGACACGGGGGGGGGUGUGGUGGACAGAAGAUUGACGAGGGGGGACAGAAGAUGGAUGGGGGACAGAAGAUGGACGGGGGGCAGGAGAAUGGGGGCAGCGGGGACAGAAGCUGGACGGGGGACAGAAGAUGGACGGGGGACAGAGGAUGGGGGGUGGUGGACAGAUGAUUGACGGGGGGGACAGAAGAUGGGUGGCGGUGGACAGAUGAUUGACGGGGGGGACAGAGGAUGGGGGCGGUGGACAGAAGAUGGACGGGGGGACAGAGGAUGGGGGCGGUGGACAGAUGAUUGACGGGGGGGACAGAAGCUGGACGGGGGACAGGAGAAUGGGGGCAGCGGAGACAAGAUGGACGGGGGACAGAGGAGAAUGGGGGCAGCGGGGACAGAAGAUGGACGGGGGACAGAGGAUGGGGGCGGUGGACAGAUGAUUGACGGGGGGGACAGAAGAUGGACGGGGGACAGAAGAUGGACGGGGGACAGGAGAAUGGGGGCAGCGGAGACAGAAGAUGGACGGGGGGCAGGAGAAUGGGGGCAGCAGGGACAGAAGAUGGACGGGGGGACAGAAGAUGGACGGGGGGACAGAAGAUGGAUGGGGGACAGAAGAUGGGGGGGCGGUGGACAGAAGAUUGACCGGGGGGACAGAAGAUGGGUGGCGGUGGACAGAAGAUUGAUGGGGGGACAGGAAAUGGACAGAGAAUGGGGGGCGGUGGACAGAAGACUGACGGGGCGGGACAGAAGAUGGACAGGGGACAGCGGAGGACGAAGGUCGGGGGACAGAGAAGGGUCAGAGGAGAUGGAGGCGGUCGGGGGGAACAGAGGGUCCUGAGGGGACAGGGCGCCCAGAGGUCGGAGGGAAGGGAGCGACGGGAGGGACGGGAGGGACGGGAGGGACGGAGCUGAGGACGAAGGAGGGGAGCAGCGCGGUCCCGAGGUCGGAAGAGGGUGCACAGAGGGGACAGGGGGCCCGCCUGGCUGCGCUCGGCCCCGCCGCGGCGCCGGAGCCGCUUGGCCGGGGAGCAGGGGACGGGGACCCGGUGACGGGGCCCAGGUGACCGGCCCGGGAGGCGGGACGGGAACGAGCACGCCGGUCUGGUGACCGGGACGGGGCCUGAGUGACGACUGACGAGGACCGGGGGCCGGGGGGCACGGCGAUGGGACUGCCGGCCCGAGCGCCGGGACCGGGCGACCCGGACGGGGACCGACCCGGGCACCGGGGCGCGGGGACCGGGGGAUGGGACGCGGGCCGGGGACAGGAGGAGCGGCUCCCUCGGCCGGCCGCGGGCGCACUGAGCCGCUCGGCCCGCACCUCCCAG